AUGGGGUUGAGGCCUGAUGUCCGUCCGUCCGUCCGUCCAUCCCCAUCUUGCGGACGUGGACACCCCCUGGAUCUCAGGGACACGCAGACAGACAGAUGGACGGAUGGACACCCGGAAGGAGGGGGGAUGGAUGGACAACCGGACAGACAGACGGAUGGACAGACACCUGGAAGGAGGGGGGACGGACAGACAGACAGACGGAUGGACACACACAAGGGACAGGCCCCAGGCAGACAGACGGAUGCCCGGGAUGCACGGCAGGACAGAUGGACACCUGGGCCCCCAGAGGGACGGGCAGAGGGACAGCUGGGCAGGCAGGGGGACGGACAGACGGAAGACCGGGCGGGCACCUGGACAGACGGCUGGACAGACAUCCAGACAGACAGACACCUGGGCGGAUGGACAGGCAACCGGACAUUUGGAUGGAUGGACACACGGACAGACGGAUACCUCGGUGGAUGGACAGGCAAGCAGAUACCUGGACGGACAGACACACGGACAGACACACAGACGGAUAGGCAACCGGACACCUGGACAAAUGGACACACGGACAGACAGACACCUGGGUGGAUGGACAGGCAACCGGACACCUGGACGGACAGACACAUGGACAGAUGGACACCUGGGUGGAUGGACAGGCAACUGGACACCUGGACGGCUGGAUGCCUGGACAGACAGACACCCGGGUGGACAGACAGGCAACGGGACACUUGGACGGACAGACGGACACCCGGGUGGACAGACAGGCAAUGGGACACUUGGACGGACAGACGGACACCUGGGUGGAUGGACAGGCAACUGGGCACCCAGACAGACAGACACCCGGACAGACGGACACCCCAUCGCCCAGCCAGAUGGAAAACGGGACGGACAGAUGGACGGACAAGCAGGCACUCGGAUGGGCGGCCGGACAACCGGACACACCUGGCCAGGCUGACAAGAGACGGACGCCUGGACCGGGGGGGGGAGCGGCCGGCCGGACGCACGGACAGCCGGCCAAGGGGACGGACACACGGACGGGCAAGGGGACAG
Molecule: long non-coding RNA, 1032 nt
Filed under: Anser cygnoides (Swan goose)
Lineage: Eukaryota; Metazoa; Chordata; Aves; Anseriformes; Anatidae
Description: lncRNA (ENSACDG00005011059.1)
Source: RNAcentral